AGACUUUUCAGUAAGGAAAGGAACCUGGGGUAGAAAGCUCCCCCUUCAGCUGCCCAUGAGGGCACAGGUGGGCCCCACACUCACUACGGGGCCAGGGCAGGGCCGCACACCUGCCACUUCCUCAGCAGAGACCCUAGCGCGUGGGUCACUGCUGGCCCAGACUCCUUCCACGAGCAGGCGAGUGUGCAGGGCCACACCUCAUCCAAGAGAUGAUCACGUUUAGGUUUUUGAUGAAAAGCAUAGCUCUCAGGUAAAUACAGCAGCACCUCUAAGCAUAUUCUGGGAGGAGUGGGUUUUAUGAGGAAGGCACACAAGGAACGCCCAAAUUUGCAAGUCCCUUUAAAAUGAGCCUGCUCAGAAUUGCUGUUUAUUCCACAGGUCUGCGCAGGCAUGGCACUAAGUGUCCCAUGGCACAUUUGGCCCUCAUGGAGGCCUCAAAAGGGCAGGACCAGCACCCUCUUCUACGGAGGAAGGAACGGGCACAGCAGAAACAAGGAGAGUCAGCAAUUACCAGCCAGCCAAGGUCCUGGAAGCUGACGUAGAGCUCGUG
RNAcentral lists this long non-coding RNA (550 nucleotides) under Homo sapiens (human). RNAcentral describes it as "non-protein coding lnc-PABPC4-1:15". Lineage: Eukaryota; Metazoa; Chordata; Mammalia; Primates; Hominidae. The record is from RNAcentral.